AAGCCAAACAAUUGAUUGCAUGAUUUGAAGGCUUAUAUAAUUCCAAAUGAAAGGGGGAGCUUUAAUUUCAGAGUUUACUGACUCAUACCUUUCAAUUUUGGAUACACUAAAUGGCUAGACAUUUGAAUUCAUUUCAAAACUUUACUAUGAAUCACUUCUUGAAUGAGCAAUUCACUUUACAAAUACUCAAUAUUUUGUCAUCAUCAAAAAGGGAGAGAUUGUGGAGUGAUUGAGUAUUCCCUAAUUGAUUUUGAUGAGCUCAAAGCAUUGGAGUAUGUCUUAUGUUAUUCUAAUGAAUUCAAUCUAGUGUUUCAGGUAAAUCUUUAUGAAUUUCUGUCUAAGU
RNAcentral lists this long non-coding RNA (343 nucleotides) under Phoenix dactylifera (date palm). RNAcentral's name for it is "long non-coding RNA (PDAC_LNC009380)". Lineage: Eukaryota; Viridiplantae; Streptophyta; Magnoliopsida; Arecales; Arecaceae. The record is from RNAcentral.